UCUUUAGCAUAUAUAUAAUGUACUAGAAUUGUAAAGAUACACCAAAGAAUAGUAUGGUUCCUGCACAAGGAUGACUUGCUAAUUCAGGAAAUAUUCCAUAUACAA
RNAcentral lists this small nuclear RNA (105 nucleotides) under Cavia porcellus (domestic guinea pig). Lineage: Eukaryota; Metazoa; Chordata; Mammalia; Rodentia; Caviidae. The record is from RNAcentral.